This 468-nucleotide ribosomal RNA is filed under the name uncultured bacterium. RNAcentral's name for it is "partial 16S ribosomal RNA". It matches the Rfam family "Bacterial small subunit ribosomal RNA", at positions 28 to 507 of the family's 1533-position model. The record is from RNAcentral.
GACGAACGCUGGCGGCGUGCUUAACACAUGCAAGUCGAACGGAAAGGCCCUGCUUUUGUGGGUUGCUCGAGUGGCGAACGGGUGAGUAACACGUGAGUAACCUGCCCUUGACUUUGGGAUAACUUCAGGAAACUGGGGCUAAUACCGGAUAGGAGCUCCUGCUGCAUGGUGGGGGUUGGAAAGUUUCGGCGGUGGGGGAUGGACUCGCGGCUUAUCAGCUUGUUGGUGGGGUAGUGGCUUACCAAGGCUUUGACGGGUAGCCGGCCUGAGAGGGUGACCGGCCACAUUGGGACUGAGAUACGGCCCAGACUCCUACGGGAGGCAGCAGUGGGGAAUAUUGCACAAUGGGCGGAAGCCUGAUGCAGCAACGCCGCGUGCGGGAUGACGGCCUUCGGGUUGUAAACCGCUUUCGCCUGUGACGAAGCGUGAGUGACGGUAAUGGGUAAAGAAGCACCGGCUAACUACGUG